UACAGAGGUCUCAAGCGUUGUUCGGAUUCAUUGGGCGUAAAGGGUGUGUAGGUGGCGCGCUAAGUCGGGUGUGAAAUUUCGGAGCUUAACUCCGAAACUGCAUUCGAUACUGGCGUGCUUGAGGACUGGAGAGGAGACUGGAAUUCACGGUGUAGCAGUGAAAUGCGUAGAGAUCAUGAGGAAGACCAGUGGCGAAGGCGGGUCUCUGGGCAGUAACUGACGCUGAGGAGCGAAAGCGUGGGGAGCGAACAGG
This 253-nucleotide ribosomal RNA is filed under the name uncultured bacterium. RNAcentral's name for it is "partial 16S ribosomal RNA". It matches the Rfam family "Bacterial small subunit ribosomal RNA", at positions 524 to 776 of the family's 1533-position model. The record is from RNAcentral.